AUGGCUGUCGUCAGCUCGUGUCGUGAGAUGUUGGGUUAAGUCCCGUAACGAGCGCAACCCUUAUCCUUAUUUGCCAGCACGUAAUGGUGGGAACUCUAAGGAGACUGCCGGGGUCAACUCGGAGGAAGGUGGGGACGACGUCAAGUCAUCAUGCCCCUUAUAUCCAGGGCUGCAAACAUGCUACAAUGGCCGGUACAGAGGGCUGCAAAACCGCGAGGUUGAGCGAAUCCCACAAAGCCGGUCUCAGUUCGGAUUGGAGUCUGCAACUCGACUCCAUGAAGGCGGAGUCGCUAGUAAUCCCGGAUCAGCAACGCCGGGGUGAAUACGUUCCCGGGCCUUGUACACACCGCCCGUCACACCACGAAAGUCAGCAACACCCGAAGUCAGUGGCCCAACUCUUACGAGAAGGAGCUGCCGAAGGUGGGGUCGGCGAUUGGGGUGAAGUCGUAACAAGGUAGCCGUACCGGAAGGUGCGGCUGGAUCACCUCCUUUCUAAGGAGUACAUAUCGUCAUCGUUGUCGGCCAUUUGUGCCGACCGGAGACGGUCACUCCCAGUUAGCGCACUGGCUAGUUGGUCACGUUCCCAGGGCUCGAGACACUCGAGUCCAGGUAACGGUGAAGUUCCGUCCUCUAUCCCGUUUUGAGGGAGCGCUACGCGCUCGUCCUCACGGGUCCGGUCCCACCGUCGCAGCGCACUCGAUGCGUUCCCGGCGGUGCCAUCGGACCACAGGCCACGGCCGAUGGCGACAGUCCCACCAGGGAUCGUCCGCUACGCCGUCGCCGGCCUACAGGGCCGGCAGCUGUCUCUUGAGAACUGCACAGCGAACACGAGCAUCUUCAUCAAUCAAUUGUCGAUGUAUUUGUAAUUUCCAAGCUACUAAGAGCCAACGGUGAAUGCCUUGGCGACUACUACCGAAGAAGGACGUGGGUGGCUGCGAAAAGCCACGGUGAGCUGUCUACCGAGCUUUGACCCGUGGAUGUCCGAAUGGGGAAACCCGG
RNAcentral lists this small RNA (999 nucleotides) under uncultured bacterium. Its description in RNAcentral is "bacterial SSU rRNA". The stretch from base 1 to 492 matches the Rfam family "Bacterial small subunit ribosomal RNA", at positions 1045 to 1533 of the family's 1533-position model. The record is from RNAcentral.